CUUAACACAUGCAAGUCGAGGGGUAUAGGUUUUCGGACCUAGAGACCGGCGCACGGGUGCGUAACGCGUAUGCAAUCUACCUUUUACAGAGGGAUAGCCCAGAGAAAUUUGGAUUAAUACCUCAUAGUAUUAUUGAAUGGCAUCAUUUAAUAAUUAAAGUCACAACGGUAAAAGAUGAGCAUGCGUCCCAUUAGCUAGUUGGUAAGGUAACGGCUUACCAAGGCAACGAUGGGUAGGGGUCCUGAGAGGGAGAUCCCCCACACUGGUACUGAGACACGGACCAGACUCCUACGGGAGGCAGCAGUGAGGAAUAUUGGUCAAUGGGCGCAAGCCUGAACCAGCCAUGCCGCGUGCAGGAUGACGGUCCUAUGGAUUGUAAACUGCUUUUGUACAGGAAGAAACAGUUCUACGUGUAGAACCUUGACGGUACUGUAAGAAUAAGGAUCGGCUAACUCCGUGCCAGCAGCCGCGGUAAUACGGAGGAUCCAAGCGUUAUCCGGAAUCAUUGGGUUUAAAGGGUCCGUAGGCGGUUUUGUAAGUCGGUGGUGAAAGCCCAUCGCUCAACGGUGGAACGGCCGUUGAUACUGCAAGACUUGAAUUAUUAGGAAGUAACUAGAAUAUGUAGUGGAGCGGUGAAAUGCUUAAAUAUACAUGGAAUACCAAUUGCGAAGGCAGGUUACUACUAAUAUAUUGACCCUG
Molecule: ribosomal RNA, 699 nt
Filed under: uncultured Bacteroidota bacterium
Lineage: Bacteria; Pseudomonadati; Bacteroidota
Description: bacterial SSU rRNA
Rfam family: Bacterial small subunit ribosomal RNA
Source: RNAcentral